Molecule: microRNA precursor, 87 nt
Filed under: Ovis aries (sheep)
Lineage: Eukaryota; Metazoa; Chordata; Mammalia; Artiodactyla; Bovidae
Description: miRNA (ENSOARG00000023489.1)
Source: RNAcentral
UAUUGGGUUGGCCAAAAAGUUUGUUCAAAUAUUUCUGUAAGAUGUUAUAAAAAACCUGAACGAACUAUUUGGCCAAUCCAAAUAAAU